GAUCCAACCGUCGGUGAGCGAGCUGUCCCGGGCCGUGCGGACCAACAUACUGUGCACCGUGCGCGGCUGCGGCAAGAUCCUGCCCAACAGCCCCGCGCUCAACAUGCAUCUGGUCAAGAGCCACCGUCUGCAGGAUGGCAUAGUAAAUCCAACAAUAAGAAAAGAUUUGAAAACUGUACCGAAAUUCUACUGUUGUCCAAUUGAAGGAUGCCCGCGAGGCCCUGACAGACCAUUUUCUCAGUUUUCUCUCGUAAAACAGCACUUCAUGAAAAUGCAUGCUGAGAAGAAGCAUAAAUGUAGUAAAUGCAGCAAUUCGUAUGGUACGGAAUGGGACUUGAAAAGACACGCAGAGGACUGUGGCAAGACCUUCCAGUGCACAUGUGGCUGUCCCUAUGCCAGUAGAACAGCAUUACAGUCCCACAUCUAUCGAACUGGCCAUGAGAUCCCUGCAGAACACAGGGAUCCACCUAGUAAGAAAAGGAAAAUGGAAAACUGCCUGCAAAACCAGAAGUUGUCCAAUAAGACCACCGAAUCAUUGAGCAGCCAACCAACCCCUAGACCAGACACUCAAGAACUAGAAACUUCAGAAAUAAAGCUAGUAGCUUCUUUUGAAGACUCUUGUGGCUCUAAUGCCAGAAAGCAGACUCUUACAACACCUACGAGAUAUCCUCAGAAGCUGCUUUUACCAAAGCCCAAAGUGGCUUUGGUUAAACUACCAGUGAUGCAGCUCUCUCCUGUGCCUGUCUUUGUGCCUACGGCUGACUCCUCAGCCCAACAUGUGGUGUUUGGUGUUGAUCAGGGCUCUGCCACGGGCACUGUGCACUUACUGCCCUUGUCGGUAGGAACCUUGAUCCUUGGCCUAGAUUCAGAGGCUUGCUCUCUUAAGGAGAGCUUACCUCUUUCAAAAAUGAUAAGUCCUGUUGCUGUUGAGCCAAUUAGUACAGGAGUUCAAGCGAACUUGGGUAAAAGUCCAUUUAAUCCUUUACAAGAAUUAGGGAACACAUGUCAAAAGAAUAGCAUUUCUUCAAUCAAUAUACAGACAGAUCUGUCUUAUGCCUCACAAAACUUUAUACCUUCUGCACAGUGGGCUAGCCCUGAUUCCUCUGUGUCAUCUUGUUCUCAAACUGAUUUGUCAUUUGAUUCUCAAGUGUCCCUUCCCAUUAGUGUUCACACUCAGACAUUUUUGCCCAGCUCUAAGGUAACUUCAUCUAUAGCUGCUCAGACUGAUGGAUUUAUAGAUGCUUGUUUCCAGUCCAGCGGGAUCUCCAGAGAAACUCAAACCAGUGGGAUACAAAGUAUGACAGAUGACCAUGUACAGAUGGACCAAGCUGGAAUGUGUGGAGACAUUUUUGAGAGUGUCCAUUCAUAUAAUGUUCCUACAGAUAAUAUUAUAAGCAACAGUUUAGUAGCAGACACAGUAACUCAUGGUUUGUUACCUCAGAACGACCCUAAGACUUUAAAUCAAGAUAUUGAGAAAUCUGCGCCAAUUAUAAACUUCAGUGCACAGAAUAUGCUUCCUUCACAGAACAUGACAGAUAAUCAGACCCAAACUAUAGAUUUAUUAAGUGAUUUAGAAAACAUCUUAUCAAGUAAUCUGCCUGCUCAGACAUUGGAUAAUCGGAGUCUUCUAUCUGACACGAAUCCUGGACCUGACACUCAGCUCCCAUCUGGUCCACCUCAGAAUCCUGGAAUAGAUUUUGAUAUUGAAGAGUUCUUUUCAGCCUCAAAUAUCCAGACUCAAACUGAAGAGAGUGAACUUGGCACCAUGAACACUGAACCAGUCUUAGAAUCACUGGACAUAGAGACCCAAACUGACUUCUUACUUGCAGACACCUCUGCUCAGUCCUAUGGGUGUAGGGGAAAUUCUAACUUCUUAGGCCUUGAGAUGUUUGACACGCAGACACAGACAGACUUAAACUUCUUUUUAGACAGUAGCCCUCAUCUGCCUUUGGGAAGUAUUCUGAAACACUCCAGCUUUUCCAUGAGUACUGAUUCAUCUGACACAGAGACCCAAACCGAAGGAAUCUCAACUGCUAAAAACAUACCUGCUCUAGAAAGCAAAGUUCGGUUGAACAGUACAGAAACACAAACCAUGAGUUCUGGGUUUGAAACCCUGGGGAGCUUGUUCUUCACCAGCAAUGAAACUCAAACAGCAAUGGAUGACUUUCUUCUGGCUGAUUUGGCCUGGAACACGAUGGAGUCUCAGUUUAGUUCUGUAGAAACCCAGACAUGUGCCGAACUAUAUGCAGUCUCCGAUUUCUAAAAGCUGAGUCCACUUGUGGGAUGGCAUUUACCAUUUCCUUAUGGAUUAGCAAAUGGGGAAUGGUACAACGGUAUUAACUCUGUUGAAUGUAGCUGAUGACGCAGUCACUUAGAUUCUUUGCGGUUCUUUGCCUUUUGUGCUUGUAAACAUGAAAUUUGUGUAUAAAUGUGAGUAUUAUAAAGUGUAAGAUGUUGAUCUAAAAGUGAUUGCUUUGUGUUGCCCAUAUUGUCCUUUUACAGCUGGUCUUUCCAUCUUUAAAAAAAAUUUUCAUACCUAUAAAGCCUGUCUAGCCAUUUAGCUGAAGCCAAGCUUACAGCUACUAAGACACAAACUUCUCAGAUCUUCAGAACGUUUUAGUCAUAGUGUAGCAUACUUAAAUUGCACCCAAAAUAUUUUUGACAGUGCUUGUUAGAAAUUCAUGUUUCUCGAUAGAAAUAAGAAAGGCAAUGCUGCCACCAUCAGAUUUAAACAGUGCUUCCAUGGUUUGAGACUUCUGCUGCUUUGACAUCUUUUCUGAUCUGAAGACACCAAGGAAAACUACAGCUGUCUAGCUUUGAGACAGUUUUCAUAUAGUCACGUCAUCCCUUCUCUAUAUGAGCUAUUAUUGGUAAUGUACUUUUCUCACAAGAGGUUUAUUGCUGUAAAAUUGCUGCCUAGAGGGAAAGCAUCAAGCACUUAGUGUAUACAGUGAUCCUUGUAAAAAAGAGUGAGUCAUCCAAACCACGGGAAUACGGGGUUGUGGAAUUGUGCUUAUUAGUUCAUCCUAGCAUGUGCCCUAUGAACAUUCUUCCUGCUUUCCAGAAUAAGUCAGAUUGGGGCUCUGGAGCUGCUGCCAAAAGUGCACCCACAGGCUGGAUCUGAGUUUUGUCACUAUAAAAAUGUGGGAAGAGAAAAGGACAUUUCAAUACUUUGCACUUCUAAGCUUCAUUGAGCAAGAGUGCAACCUACAAUUAUUUUAAAGUGACUUUUCCUUCCAUCCACCACUCAUUUUUUUCUUGACUAAGGAAAGACAUUGGUCUAGCAAGGAAAUUGUUUGUGCCUUGAGGCUAGCAAUUAUAGAAUAGAUCCAUCUAAAAUAUGAUAUUCUGUAUAUUGUUGCUUUACUUUUUAAUGAGAAUAAUACCAAAUAGUCAUCUUCAAAGAAAACAAGGUGAAGACCUAUUGCUUCAAUAAUCAAGAGCAUUUUCUGUGAGAUGGGAGCAUGGUCAAGUAUGCUAUAGGGGUUUUCUAUAUCUAAGAGAUCCUGAAUUCUUACUUGCUGGCCAACUUUCAGGCAAGGAAGAAACAGUGCAGCCUGUACGUUGUCUAAGUUUACAAAAACAAAAAAGACCUGUUCUUUCUGUGGCAUACUCUUAUGCUGUGAAGGCAAAUCUAAGGAGGGGACUACUGAUUCAUUAAAUUGAUGGUGUUGCUACUAAUUCCUAUCCCAUACAUCUGAUACAAAAGCAGUUUGGUAAUGGAUAACAUAUCCUGGGCAGGUGAACUCAACCUAGUAGAUAAAAGUUUGCUUUGGUCACAGUUGCCUAUAAAUAUGUACUUCAAAACAAACAUAAAGCCUUAAUUUAAAAUUUCAUUAUGUUUUAGAAUCAUCACUGCCUUAAUGUUCAAACAUUUAUUUAAGUCCUCCCAAUAAAGGAGAAAUGCAUGUUUGUAGUUUUUUGUAAAUAUAAACGCAGAUCUAUGGCUUUAAAAAACAAAAACAAACACUUGUUUCUGUGACUGAUUGUUAAUUUAGCCAAUAGAGUUAUGUACAGAAAAAUGGAGCAUGUAAUGGUUCGUGUACAAGAACUGCCUCCCCACCAAACCUCAGCUACCUGGUUGUUCUAAGAUUACUUGUAAAAACUGAAAUUCUGUGAUUAAAGAGAAACUAGAAUU
RNA transcript from Galeopterus variegatus (Sunda flying lemur), 4138 nucleotides. It is a transcript of the gene named ATM interactor, with no coding region annotated. Lineage: Eukaryota; Metazoa; Chordata; Mammalia; Dermoptera; Cynocephalidae. The record is from RefSeq and is a predicted model, not a curated record. The transcript has 5 exons.